UAUAGACUUUGCUGAUUUAAGAUACUCCUGACGGCUGGCUCUGUGGCCAAGUGGUUAAGUUUGCGCACUCUGCUGCGGCGGCCCAGGGUUUGGAUCCUGGGCGCAGACAUAGCACCGCUCGUCAGGCCACGUUGAGGCGGUGUUCCACAUCCCACAACUAGAAGGACCUGCAACUAAGAUAUACAACUGUGUACAGGGGGCUUUGGGGAGAUAAAGCAGAAAAAAAUAAAUAAGUAAAAAUAAAUAAAUAAAAUACUCCUGAAAUAAGUAGUCAAAUUCCCCUUGCUAUGUUCGUUGUUAAAUUUACAUUUGGUUUUGACAAAUAAAAAUGGCAAGCAAUAGGAUAUAUUGGAGAAUAUGAGGAAGCCAUUUGGUAUAAACCUAAUUCGGCCUGACCUUGUCUUUCCAAAAGGGCCUGACCGUGGCUGUUGAGCAUGCAUUGUAUAUCUGCUUUAGAGAUUCCCUAUGGCAAGAGCAAAGGCCCUUGAGAUAAAGGCUAGAAACUGAUUGCUGCACUCACCUGUGACCGCCCAGCUCCAGACAAUAGACGCCUCCUGCUGCGCCCACCAAGAUGGCAGACCCACUACCUGCUGUGUCCAUCAAGCGCUGUGCCGACAGGGCAAUCUUGUGACUAUUGUGGGAGGGACAUUUCAAUCAUAUGUAAAGCACCCUCUUUGGGGGUAUAUAACCACUCUGUACACCUCAUUUCUUUGGUGCCCUUUCUUCCUUCAGGAAGAAAGGCCCCUGGCCAUGGUCCUCAGAUUUCGGCUCAGAAUAAACUCACCCAAAUUUUCAUUUACAGAUUGGUUAUGGAUUAUUUUCAUUGACAGUUUGCAUUAGCCUUUCUAUCUUCCCUGUGCCAAAUAAAAGCACAACACUGUACUGCUUAGUAUGUCAUUUGGGGAGUUAUUCAUCAGAUUCUGGUUACUCCUCCCAUCCUUGUUCCUCUGCUGCCACCCUCACCUACAGUCCUUGCCUCCAUCAUCUCUGGCCUGGACUGUUUCAAGAGCCUUCCAGCUGUUUGGCCACCCCUGGCACUCCAUCCUCUAUCAUCUUUCUCAGCCAGCAGCCGGCAUGAUCCUAUUGAAAGGUAAGUCAGGUCAUGUCACUCCUUGGCCCUUGAAUGGCUUCCCAUCUCAUUCAGAGUAUAAACUGUGGGGACCUGGAAAUGGCCACCCCAAGAUAUGUCUCUUUGGCAUGAGGAUUGUUUGAGGCUGGUUUCUUUGCAGACAGGAACGCAACUGAAAAGUAGAAUUUACUUACCCUUUGUAAGACACAUUUACAUUGUAAAGGAACUCCCCAUCUGUAAAGAUCUCUCUAGAAACUCUUAAUCAAUGGGGAAGGCAAGGACUUAAAUCUGCAUUUGUUUAUUGUGCUUGUCUGGUAACCUCCUGUAACUGACUUCCCUCCCCCUCACAAUGUUUGUAUUUCUUUAAGGAUUAAGCAUCUUUCCUUAGGCUAGGAACUGAUUGCUAUGCUCACCUGUGACCACCCAGCUUGAGACAAUAGACUUGCCUCCUGCUACGCCCUCCGAGAUAGCAGACCAGUACCUGCUGUGUCCAUCGAGCGCUGUGCCAACAGGGCAAUCUUGUGACUAUUGUGGGAGGGACAUUUCAAUCAUAUGUGAAACACCCUGUUUAGGGGUAUAUAACCACUCUGUGCACCCCACUUCUUUGGUGCCCUUUCUUCCUUUAGGAAGAAAGGCCCCGGGCCAUGGUUCCUCAUAAAGCUUUGUUUAAUUUUCUCUUGCUAUUCUGUCUCAUGUGAAUUUAAUUUCUUCUCCGGCUAGAAGAACCCACAUUGGAUAGAGGAAAAGUCUUCCUCCCUUACAAAACCAAAGCCCUCACAGUAGCCUACAAGGCCUGAAGUGAUCUGGCCUUUCUUCCCUCUCUGACCUCACCUCUCCCUCUACUCCAGCUACACUAAUUCCUUGCUACAUAAUAUUCCUUGAAUAUGGCAAGAUGCUCCUACCUCAAGACUUGUGCUGUCUUUGUCUGGAAUGCUUUCCCCAGCUAUGUCUGCAUGGCACGGGCCCUCACCUCUUUCAAGUUUUUGCUCAAAAUGUCACCUUCUCAAGAAGCCCUUCUCUG
Molecule: long non-coding RNA, 2090 nt
Filed under: Equus caballus (horse)
Lineage: Eukaryota; Metazoa; Chordata; Mammalia; Perissodactyla; Equidae
Description: lncRNA (ENSECAG00000052233.1)
Source: RNAcentral